Molecule: ribosomal RNA, 395 nt
Filed under: Ruditapes sp.
Lineage: Eukaryota; Metazoa; Mollusca; Bivalvia; Venerida; Veneridae
Description: partial small subunit ribosomal RNA
Rfam family: Eukaryotic small subunit ribosomal RNA
Source: RNAcentral
AUUCCAGCUCCAAUAGCGUAUAUUAAAGUUGCUGCAGUUAAAAAGCUCGUAGUUGAGUCUCGGGUGCAGGCUUGCGGUCCGUCUCGCGGCGGUCACUGCUCGUCCUGGCCUCCACGCCGGCGUACCGUCCCUUGGUGCUCUUGACUGAGUGUCUCGGGCGGCCGGAACGUUUACUUUGAAGAAAUUAGAGUGCUCAAAGCAGGCCUUGGCCGCCUGCAUAAUGGUGCAUGGAAUAAUGGAAUAGGACCUCGGUUCUAUUUUGUUGGUUUUCGGAGCUCGAGGUAAUGAUUAACAGGGACUGACGGGGGCAUUCGUAUUGCGGCGCUAGAGGUGAAAUUCUUAGACCGUCGCAAGACGAACUACAGCGAAAGCAUUUGCCAAGCAUGUCUUCAUCA